RNAcentral lists this ribosomal RNA (484 nucleotides) under uncultured bacterium. RNAcentral describes it as "partial 16S ribosomal RNA". It matches the Rfam family "Bacterial small subunit ribosomal RNA", at positions 30 to 507 of the family's 1533-position model. The record is from RNAcentral.
AUUGAGCGCUGGCGGCAGGCCUAACACAUGCGAGUCGAGCGGAUGAAGGGAGCUUGCUCCUGGAUUCAGCGGCGGACGGGUGAGUAAUGCCUAGGAAUCUGCCUGGUAGUGGGGGAUAACGUCCGGAAACGGGCGCUAAUACCGUAUACGUCCUGAGGGAGAAAGUGGGGGAUCUUCGGACCUCACGCUAUCAGAUGAGCCUAGGUCGGAUUAGCUAGUUGGUGGGGUAAAGGCCUACCAAGGCGACGAUCCGUAACUGGUCUGAGAGGAUGAUCAGUCACACUGGAACUGAGACACGGUCCAGACUCCUACGGGAGGCAGCAGUGGGGAAUAUUGGACAAUGGGCGAAAGCCUGAUCCAGCCAUGCCGCGUGUGUGAAGAAGGUCUUCGGAUUGUAAAGCACUUUAAGUUGGGAGGAAGGGCAGUAAGUUAAUACCUUGCUGUUUUGACGUUACCAACAGAAUAAGCACCGGCUAACUUCGUG